CCUACGGGCGGCAGCAGUGAGGAAUAUUGGUCAAUGGCCGGAAGGCUGAACCAGCCAAGCCGCGUGAAGGACGAAGGUUCUAUGGUUUGUAAACUUCUUUUGUCAGGGAAUAAAAUUAUCCUCGUGAGCAUGUUCGCGUGUACCCUAUGAAUAAGCAUCGGCUAACUCCGUGCCAGCAGCCGCGGUAAUACGGAGGAUGCGAGCGUUAUCCGGAUUUAUUGGGUUUAAAGGGUGCGUAGGUGGUCUUUUAAGUCAGCGGUGAAAGUUUGGGGCUCAACCCUGAAAGUGCCGUUGAAACUGGAAGACUUGAGAGGGUGUGAGGUAGGCGGAAUGCGUGGUGUAGCGGUGAAAUGCAUAGAUAUUGCGCAGAACUCCGAUUGCGAAGGCAGCUUACUGAGCCAGAACUGACGCUGAGGCACGAAAGCGUGGGUAUCAAACAGGAUUAGAUACCCUUGUAGUC
This 460-nucleotide ribosomal RNA is filed under the name uncultured bacterium. RNAcentral describes it as "partial 16S ribosomal RNA". It matches the Rfam family "Bacterial small subunit ribosomal RNA", at positions 338 to 795 of the family's 1533-position model. The record is from RNAcentral.